This 253-nucleotide unclassified non-coding RNA is filed under the name uncultured Rickettsiales bacterium. Its description in RNAcentral is "contains 16S-23S intergenic spacer region". It matches the Rfam family "Bacterial small subunit ribosomal RNA", at positions 524 to 776 of the family's 1533-position model. The record is from RNAcentral. Lineage: Bacteria; Pseudomonadati; Pseudomonadota; Alphaproteobacteria; Rickettsiales.
UACGGAGGGUUCAAGCGUUGUUCGGAAUUACUGGGCGUAAAGAGCGCGUAGGCGGCAUAGCAAGUCAGAUGUGAAAGCCCUGGGCUUAACCCGGGAUGUGCAUUUGAUACUGCUAAGCUAGAGUAUCGGAGAGGUGAGUGGAAUUCCUAGUGUAGAGGUGAAAUUCGUAGAUAUUAGGAGGAACACCAGAGGCGAAGGCGGCUCACUGGCCGAUGACUGACGCUGAGGCGCGAAAGCGUGGGGAGCAAACAGG